CCUACGGGAGGCUGCAGUGGGGAAUAUUGGACAAUGGGGGGAACCCUGAUCCAGCGACGCCGCGUGAGUGAAGAAGUAUUUCGGUAUGUAAACCUCUAUCAGCCGGGAAGAAAGAAAUGAAGGUACCUGCCUAAGAAGCCCCGGCUAACUACGUGCCCGCAGCAGCGGUAAUACGUAGGGGGCAAGCGUUAUCCGGAUUUACGGGUUGUAAGGGGAGCGUAGACGGGGAUGCAAGUCUGAGGUGAAAGGCGGGGGCCCAACCCCUGGACUGCUUUGGAUACUGUAUGGCUGGAGUGCCGGAGAGGUAAGUGGAAUUCCUGGUGUAGCGGUGAAAUGCGUAGAUAUUAGGCGGAACACCAGUGGCGAAGGCGGCUUACUGGACUGUAACUGACGUUGAGGCUCGAAAGCGUGGGUAGCAAACAGGAUUAGAUACCCUUGUAGUC
Molecule: ribosomal RNA, 443 nt
Filed under: uncultured bacterium
Lineage: Bacteria
Description: partial 16S ribosomal RNA
Rfam family: Bacterial small subunit ribosomal RNA
Source: RNAcentral